CGCCUGUUUAACAAAAACAUGUCUUUUUGAAUUAUUUAAAAAGUCUAACCUGCCCACUGAAUUAUUUUAAAUGGCCGCAGUAUCCUAACUGUGCAAAGGUAGCAUAAUCAUUAGUCUUUUAAUUGAAGGCUGGUAAGAAUGGUUGGACGAGAUAUUAACUGUUUCAUAAAAAUUUAUAAUAGAAUUUUAUUUUUUAGUCAAAAAGCUAAAAUAAAUUUAAAACACGAGAAGACCCUAUAUAUCUUUAUAUUUAGAUAAUUACAAUUUUGUGGAUUUUUUUUGUUGUGAUUGUUGAUAAUAUUUUAUUGGGGUGAUAUUAAAAUUUAAAAAACUUUUAAUUAAUUAAAUCAUUAAUUUAUGAAUAAUUGAUCCGUUAUUAACGAUUAAAAAUUUAAGUUACUUUAGGGAUAACAGCGUAAUUUUUUUGGAGAGUUCAUAUCAAUAAAAAAGAUUGCGACCUCGAUGUUGGAUUAACACAUAUAUUUUGGUGUAGUCGCUAAAAUGUUAAGUCUGUUCGACUUUUAAAUUCUUACGUGAUCUGAGUUCAGACCGG
RNAcentral lists this ribosomal RNA (553 nucleotides) under Musca domestica vicina. RNAcentral's name for it is "partial 16S ribosomal RNA". It matches the Rfam family "Bacterial large subunit ribosomal RNA", at positions 1797 to 2619 of the family's 2925-position model. The record is from RNAcentral. Lineage: Eukaryota; Metazoa; Arthropoda; Insecta; Diptera; Muscidae.